Molecule: ribosomal RNA, 253 nt
Filed under: uncultured bacterium
Lineage: Bacteria
Description: partial 16S ribosomal RNA
Rfam family: Bacterial small subunit ribosomal RNA
Source: RNAcentral
UACGGAGGGUGCAAACGUUGCUCGGAAUCAUUGGGCGUAAAGCGCACGUAGGCGGUCUUUUAAGUCGGAUGUGAAAGCCCCAGGCUCAACCUGGGAAGUGCAUUCGAAACUGAAAGGCUAGAGUACGGAAGAGGGUCUCGGAAUUCCCGGUGUAGAGGUGAAAUUCGUAGAUAUCGGGAGGAACACCAGUGGCGAAGGCGGAGACCUGGGCCGAUACUGACGCUGAGGAGCGAAAGCGUGGGGAGCGAACAGG